Molecule: long non-coding RNA, 2134 nt
Organism: Fukomys damarensis (Damara mole-rat)
Lineage: Eukaryota; Metazoa; Chordata; Mammalia; Rodentia; Bathyergidae
Exons: 4
Source: RefSeq, a predicted model, not a curated record
CGGGGCGGAGUCGCCGCUGCUGGGCUUCCAGGACCCAAGUGUUCGGGUUUCUUUACUAUUCAGCCGCUGUCACGGUUUUGUUUCUUCGCUGGAAGUACAACGAUGAGCUCUUAGGGCAACGAAGCCCCCCUCAAAUGCAGAGUAGUCGGAGGUGCAGCAAUUCAGUAGAACAUUUUCUAUGAGUAAGGGGAAGAGUCAGAAAGGAUUCUACAAAAUGCCUAGGACCUAACGUCAUGAAGUACAAGAAUGCUGGCCCCACAGUCCCUGCCAGCCUAACGCACAGGAACAAUCCAGCCCACCUCAGCAGACUGUGAUUUGAGGAAAUACAAGAAAGGCUUCCGUAGGCCUCCAAAGCACAUGCCAAAUACACUUGUCACUUUGAUCCCUCAGGUGGAAGAUAGGAAUGUUCUUCUCUGAAGAGUCUUGAGUAGUCUAAGAGACCAACAUAAAGAUACCGACAAAGAGAACCCCCAGUGAUAGGUCCACGGGCAUGCCCAGAGCUUCCAGUCAGUUUUUUCAUGCAACUUUCCUCGGUAGGAUCAGGCAUCCUGGGAUCAUCUAAAGUGAGAAGAAAGCUUGUAACAUUAAUGACAGAGACCAGAAGAGAUGAACAGAAUGGCGGGGGGAGGUGUGAGAGGAGAGGAGAAGAGCAGGGGAAGCAGAGGGAGGAAGGGAGACUUGGAAGAAAUGUGGUUGCUUGAAUUGAACUAACAGGGAGAGAUGAGGAAUCAAACAAGGAAAAACUAUCAAUAACAUUCUCAAAGUAAUAAAGGAAGAUACCGUUGACAUGGAGCGAGAAUGGUAUUUACUUCUAAAAAGCUGCAUUUAGAGAACAAAAAAAGGAACUCAUAGAAAUCAAGGAUAUAAUCACAGAAAUUAAAAACUAAUACAGAAAGGAUGGAAAAUAAAUUUAAGAGUGUUUCCUACAGGAUAAUGCAAAAAAAUGAGGUAGGGAAGAAAGUUUGAGGAAAAAUGAUUUUAAAAGUUAGAUGUGUUAUGUACAUGUACCAAGGGAUGUAAACAUUAUGUAUUGCAAACAUUAAUAAAAAAAGGGCUUAAGAAAUGGAUGAGGGGGAACAGGAUGAGGAAAAGGAAAUAAGAUGUAUUAUAUAUGUGUUCCAAUUCCCAGGAAAGUUAGCACGCACUACAAAUAUGUACAUACUAAUAAAAAAUGAGAAAAGUUAGAGGACCUGUCCAGUGAGUCCAACAUGUGAAUAAUUGGCAAUACUAAAGGGAGGAAGACAUUUAACUGAUACUCUUUAUAAAUGCAUAGAUUUGAAAGACAUAAGUCUCCAGAUCGAAAGGGUCCAUUAAAUAUAAGGACAAUGAAUGAAAAUAAACUCGCUCUAGUGGACAUUGUUGUCACAUUUCAGAACUCUGGUUUCAAAGAAAGCCCUAUAAUACUCAAUGAGAAAAAACAAAAAAUUCAUACGAAGAAUCAGGAAUCACUGUGGCAUUGCACAUUCAGCAACAACACAGGCAUAGGGGCAGUGUCUUCAAAAUUCUGGGGUAAACUGUUCCAGCCCAGAAUUCCGUUCUGUCAGUCAAGUGGGAGGAUAAGUCACUUCAGAUGUGCAUGGCGUUGGAAAGUUUUGCUACUGUGUGCUCUUUCUCAGGAAACUACUAGAAGAUGUGUUCCACCAAACCUCAAGGAGCAAACCAAGGAGAGUAAAAAGAUCUCAACAGCAUUGGUAAUAGAGCCUGCCACAGAGAAAGGUGAAGAAAAUUCCUAGGAUGGGGUCAAAUAGAGUCUCAGGAUUCCAACAAGCCGGGAGAACCAUGAACCAGUGUAGAUGAAAGGGCUCCAGGAGAGAAUUCCUGAUUGUAACUGAGAAGUGGUAUCUAAUAUGUGUGAGCAGACUUUUCGGAAGACAAAGGAAAUGUCCGAUGUUGCAUUAGUGAAGAAUACAAAGCAAACUAAAAAACAGACAAACAAAAAAACUAGAUCAUUAACACCAAGAAUUAUAAAAUGUUACACUGCAAGAAUAAGUAAUAGUAGUGUACAAGGCUUAACUGUACAUACCAUUUAUAUAACAAUAAUGAUGUAAGCUGAAUACUGAUCUACUUAAAACCAUAGUAGCUGCCGGGUGUGGUGGUGCACGCCUGCAAUCCCAGCACUUGGGAGGCUGAGGCA